Molecule: long non-coding RNA, 719 nt
Filed under: Nicotiana tabacum (common tobacco)
Lineage: Eukaryota; Viridiplantae; Streptophyta; Magnoliopsida; Solanales; Solanaceae
Description: long non-coding RNA (NTAB_LNC016129)
Source: RNAcentral
AAUUCAUGAUCCACUAUCAUUUCCAAAAUACAACCAUAUGAUUCUUGAAGUCCAUCAAAUGAACAUGCACUUUUCAAAAUAUACUAUUUAUACAUUACCAUUAACUUCUAGAAUAACUACGUACUGCUCACAAUAGCCACAUCUUGACUUGCCUUCCAUAAUCAUGAAGGUCCCAUGUAUCAGUCCAGAGAUGUUGGACAGUAGAAGAGCAUGGAACGUACCAUUUUUGUCUCAAGAGAUUUUUCUCGGCAUCCAUGGGAACACAGUUUCCUGUUUCAGAAAAGAAGUGUUAUAUAUUAGCCACAAGGAGCAUAAACUAGGAGAAUCUAUAUGCACUUACAGUGAAAAGAUUUUGAAUGAAUGAGUAGAGUUUAACUUAUUAUAUUAGAUACUUAUUAUAUAUCAGAAAGAUUUUAUAUAUAUAUAUAAUUACAUCAUUGAUUGAUCUGAUUAUUUAAAUAUAUAUUUUUUUUUUUACAUCGUCGGUGUAUAAAGCUUAUUAAGCUUAAUAGAAAAAAUGCCCUCAGUCAAAUAUGAUAGUCACUGAAAAUGUAUAAAUUUUCUUACAAAAUUUUAAGAGAUAUAAUCAUAUUUACUUAUAGGUUAAUAGGAUCCAAAUAGAGGCUGAUGUAUAUUGAAGACAUCAGAUAUUGACGCACCCACAUAGUAUUUGUUUACACACAACUUAAGUGCGAAGCCAUUAAUUAGUCACGUCAAAG